This 238-nucleotide unclassified non-coding RNA is filed under the name Hevea brasiliensis (rubber tree). Lineage: Eukaryota; Viridiplantae; Streptophyta; Magnoliopsida; Malpighiales; Euphorbiaceae. The record is from RNAcentral.
GAACAAUUUGAAGACAAGAUGACGGUGGAUGAUGUGUAUCUGUCCUUCCUCCCCUUGGCUCACAUCCUUGAUCGAAUGAUUGAAGAAUACUUUUUCCACAAGGGAGCCGCUGUGGGCUACUAUCAAGGGGAUAUUAGUGCAAUAAGGGAUGAUCUCAUGGAAUUGAAGCCAACGCUCUUUGCUGGCGUCCCACGAGUUUUUGAAAGAGUGCAUGAAGGUAUAUUGAAGGCAUUAGCAG